CCUACGGGAGGCUGCAGUGAGGAAUAUUGGUCAAUGGGCGCUAGCCUGAACCAGCCAAGUAGCGUGAAGGAUGACUGCCCUAUGGGUUGUAAACUUCUUUUAUAUGGGAAUAAAGUGCAGUAUGUAUACUGCUUUGCAUGUACCUUAUGAAUAAGGAUCGGCUAACUCCGUGCCAGCAGCCGCGGUAAUACGGAGGAUCCGAGCGUUAUCCGGAUUUAUUGGGUUUAAGGGGAGCGUAGGCGGGUUGUUAAGUCAGUUGUGAAAGUUUGCGGCUCAACCGUAAAAUUGCAGUUGAUACUGGCAGCCUUGAGUACAGUAGAGGUAGGCGGAAUUCGUGGUGUAGCGGUGAAAUGCUUAGAUAUCACGAAGAACUCCGAUUGCGAAGGCAGCCUGCUGGACUGUAACUGACGCUGAUGCUCGAAAGUGUGGGUAUCAAACAGGAUUAGAUACCCCUGUAGUC
This 460-nucleotide ribosomal RNA is filed under the name uncultured bacterium. Its description in RNAcentral is "partial 16S ribosomal RNA". It matches the Rfam family "Bacterial small subunit ribosomal RNA", at positions 338 to 795 of the family's 1533-position model. The record is from RNAcentral.